RNAcentral lists this ribosomal RNA (253 nucleotides) under uncultured bacterium. Its description in RNAcentral is "partial 16S ribosomal RNA". It matches the Rfam family "Bacterial small subunit ribosomal RNA", at positions 524 to 776 of the family's 1533-position model. The record is from RNAcentral.
UACGAAGGGGGCGAGCGUUGUUCGGAUUUACUGGGCGUAAAGGGCGCGUAGGCGGCGGACCAAGUCGAGUGUGAAAGCCCCGGGCUCAACCUGGGAGGUGCGCUCGAGACUGGUCUGCUUGAGUUCGGGAGAGGAGCGUGGAAUUCCCAGUGUAGAGGUGAAAUUCGUAGAUAUUGGGAAGAACACCGGUGGCGAAGGCGGCGCUCUGGACCGAGACUGACGCUGAGGCGCGAAAGCGUGGGGAGCAAACAGG